This is a long non-coding RNA of Capsella rubella, 1466 nucleotides long. RefSeq lists it as uncharacterized. NCBI's taxonomy places the organism in Eukaryota, Viridiplantae, Streptophyta, Magnoliopsida, Brassicales, Brassicaceae. The record is from RefSeq and is a predicted model, not a curated record. The transcript is spliced from 7 exons.
AUUAGAUAACACAAUCCUUCUGUUGGGCCAUAACCUCAUAACGAGGCCCACAUAGUUUCUACACCAAAGCAGCCCAUACAAAUUUGUUGACUUUCUUCUCCUCCUUUGUCGAUUCUCUUCACGACGUCUUUCUCCGGCAACGCCUUCGUCUUCCUAUCUUUAUCUUCAUCGUCUAAUUGAUUCUUCUUUUCUUCCCCUACUGCUCUUGGGUGGUGGGGGUUACGCCAUCCGAAAUGUUGCCGUGCUACGGGGCACUUUCCUCCGUUCAUUAUAUGCUGCUAUAGCUUUGCACUGAAAUUUCCUUGGUCUCUGUACCAAGGACCCUGGUCCAAGGUUAGCUCUUUGUGACAAGCUGCCACAAUUUCUUCCGAGAAGCUGUUGAACCGGAUACGAAGGGCAAGGAUGGACUGAAAGGAGUUAUGGAGCGUGGCAAAGGUUGUGAGGUUACAGGAGUAAACCCAGUGGAAAUGGAGGAAGCAAGUGUGAAAAUGGAAGAGGAAGGAACAAACAAGGGUGCCAUAAAAGUUUAAACAAGGGUGUUUUCUGAUAUUGUUCACAACGAUAAGCAGUUACAUGUCAAGCUUUCUACAUUGAUUUCUGGAGUAAGUAACAACAGAAAGAAUACUCCUUAUAGGCCACCCCACUUGUGGCAAGAGGGAUGAUUUGAACACUAAGCAGCAAGUGUCUUGUGACCAUGAUUCUGGUAGUUUUGAUGUUAUAUCAUCAGAUUCUGAAUUCAGUGACAGUGGCUGUUCCGCACGGGAUUCUUAUUGUGCCCAAAGCUCGAAGGUUAGAAUAGCUGCUAUUGUUUGCAUACAGGAUCUUUGCCAGGCUGAUUCAAACUCAUUUACCCCUCAGUGGAUGACUCUCUUUCCAACCAGUGAUGUACUCAAGCCAAGGAAAUUUGAAGUUACUCUAGUGAUCUGAUUGCUUUUUGAUCCUCAUUUGAAGAAAAGGAUUGCAUCUGCUUCAGCUAUUUUCCUUCAAGUGGCUGAGUACAAGGAAUCCACCAAAUAAGGGUCUUUUAUGCCCCUCUCCAAUUCCCUUGGUCUAAUACUGAUGCUACUCCACACACUAUGGUCCAACAGAAGAAAAUGAGUCUUGGCAGAAAAAGUUGUGGGAGGAGAACAAUAACAAAGAUCCGUUCCCCAAUGCUAAAUUCCACGUAGAUACUCUGUGGAUGUAUAACUUCAGCGGCUCAGAGGAAGAGUUUGCCUUGGUGUCGUGUUUCAUAAGGCAAGGGACCGUGGUAGAAAAGUUGAUGAUCAAGACGUCAUCCUUUCCUGCAAGGAAGAAGUUAAAGAUAGAAGCUGCAGUGGCCAAGCUACAUGCACUUCAAACGAAGCUUACCAUCGAAUGUUUCUAAGCGAAUUUAAUUGGUUCUUAAGUUGAAAUCUUUUCAAUCUAAAUUUAAUUAAGUGGUCUACGGUUUAUAAUAUAUUAGCUACGAACGUCUAAAUAUUUUU